This is a non-coding RNA of Acanthosepion pharaonis, 85 nucleotides long. The record is from the annotation of a GenBank genome assembly. NCBI's taxonomy places the organism in Eukaryota, Metazoa, Mollusca, Cephalopoda, Sepiida, Sepiidae.
UUCCCGUAUGAUCACCGAAGUUAAGCAACGUCGAGCCUACUCAGCACCUAGAUAGGUGACCGCUUAGGAAUACGAGGUGCUGUAA